Molecule: ribosomal RNA, 743 nt
Filed under: uncultured bacterium
Lineage: Bacteria
Description: bacterial SSU rRNA
Rfam family: Bacterial small subunit ribosomal RNA
Source: RNAcentral
AGAGUUUGAUCAUGGCUCAGAGCGAACGCUGGCGGCAGGCUUAACACAUGCAAGUCGAGCGGGCGUAGCAAUACGUCAGCGGCAGACGGGUGAGUAACGCGUGGGAACGUACCUUUUGGUUCGGAACAACCCAGGGAAACUUGGGCUAAUACCGGAUAAGCCCUUACGGGGAAAGAUUUAUCGCCGAAAGAUCGGCCCGCGUCUGAUUAGCUAGUUGGUGAGGUAACGGCUCACCAAGGCGACGAUCAGUAGCUGGUCUGAGAGGAUGAUCAGCCACAUUGGGACUGAGACACGGCCCAAACUCCUACAGGAGGCAGCAGUGGGGAAUAUUGGACAAUGGGCGCAAGCCUGAUCCAGCCAUGCCGCGUGAGUGAUGAAGGCCCUAGGGUAAAAGCUCUUUUGUGCGGGAAGAUAAUGACGGUACCGCAAGAAUAAGCCCCCGGCUAACUUCGUGCCAGCAGCCGCGGUAAUACGAAGGGGGCUAGCGUUGCUCGGAAUCACUGGGCGUAAAGGGUGCGUAGGCGGGUCUUUAAGUCAGGGGUGAAAUCCUGGAGCUCAACUCCAGAACUGCCUUUGAUACUGAAGAUCUUGAGUUCGGGAGAGGUGAGUGGAACUGCGAGUGUAGAGGUGAAAUUCGUAGAUAUUCGCAAGAACACCAGUGGCGAAGGCGGCUCACUGGCCCGAUACUGACGCUGAGGCACGAAAGCGUGGGGAGCAAACAGGAUUAGAUACCCUAGUAGUCC